This 70-nucleotide transfer RNA is filed under the name Ictidomys tridecemlineatus (thirteen-lined ground squirrel). Its description in RNAcentral is "Spermophilus tridecemlineatus (thirteen-lined ground squirrel) tRNA". It matches the Rfam family "tRNA". From Rfam's summary of the family: Transfer RNA (tRNA) molecules are approximately 80 nucleotides in length. Their secondary structure includes four short double-helical elements and three loops (D, anti-codon, and T loops). Lineage: Eukaryota; Metazoa; Chordata; Mammalia; Rodentia; Sciuridae. The record is from Rfam by way of RNAcentral.
GCAGAUGUAGCUUAGUAGUAGAGUGCUCACCUACCAGGUGCAAGGCUCUGGGUUCGAUUCCCAGCAUGCC